RNAcentral lists this long non-coding RNA (515 nucleotides) under Heterocephalus glaber (naked mole-rat). Its description in RNAcentral is "lncRNA (ENSHGLG00000039323.1)". The record is from RNAcentral. Lineage: Eukaryota; Metazoa; Chordata; Mammalia; Rodentia; Bathyergidae.
AGAUGCUCAGCUAAUAGAAAACAUUCAACUGCUUUUGUGUUUCAGAAAAAAAAGAAACAAGAAAGUGAAGAGCUUCAUCCAAAUUCCUACCACUAAUUAUUUUUAGUAAUAAUUAGCUGGGACUACUACAUAUACUUCGGACUCACAUUUGAGGCUGAAUAGUCACACAAUGGCCAUCUGCAAGCUGAAGAGCCAGCCAAACUAGCAUCUACUCCAUCCGAGAUGCUGGAAACCUCAGAGCAAGAGAGACCAAUGAUGCAGCCCCAACCCAAGGCUUAAGGGCUAGAAGAUUGCUAGAAACUUGCUGAUGUGAAUUUAAAUUCAAAGGCUGAAGAAGCUGAAGUCUGAAAUUUGCAAGUGACAGCAGUAGCAGCAGGAAAAAAAAUGCCAUUACCACCAAAACCACCUGCUGAAGAAGAAUCCAGCUUUCACAGGUUUUCGUGGGAAAAUAUUUCAUAAAGAGGAGCUUCAUCUGGGUAUUUUUCACUGCAUGUGAACUUGAGGGCAGUCUGGAC